CAAGAGACUACGGCACUUGUCCAAGGCCUAUAGCACAAACAGGCAGACUGAGAUUUGAACCCAAGGUUUCUAGAGCGCCUGGAAUUUUAAAUCUGCCAUUUACUUCGUGCUUUUGAUUUGCCCUGCCUAUUCCGCAGAUCAUUUCCUUUCUUAUCUUUUUGAAUUAAUUAAAAAAAAAAACGUUUCCAGAUCAUGUGAACUCGGCUCAAAAUCUUUUAUUUUCUGUCCCUCCUGUACAAAAUAUAGGUUGCAUGAGAAUAGAUUUUUGUACAUAUAUUUUAGCACUGCUUUAGCCUCGGUGCCUAGGAUAUUUCCUUAUACACAGUAAGUGCUCAAUAACCAGUUCAUUAAGUCAUUGCCCUAAACACUUACAUACAAGGGCUGCUAGUGGGAUUAAAAUAUGACCCAGGUUCCAUGGCCACAACCCGAGUGACAGUUUUCUACAUGAUGUUGGACAAUUAGAAAUAGUCUGUCAACAACCUAUGAAAUAAUUUUUUGGAUACUCUAGUCAUAACCUCUUACUCGGUACAAAAUAUAACUGCUCACUUAUCAAACAAGUUUUAAUUGGUUUAUACAUUUAUAAACCCUUUUAUAUUUGGCCCUGCAUAUCCUAAAAAGUACAAAGAUAAAAUUUUCAUUUCAUGAAGUACGUGUCUCAUAGGAAACUAAAAUAAAGUUAACAAUAUGUGCUCUUAUUUUUUAUACAUUAUACACUGUAACAAUGUUUAUAAAACAACCUGUUUCUCAGGAGGGCCUUUGAAAGAGGUGGAAGAAUAAAAAUCUACUCUCCUUUCGCUUGUCCUUAAGCUGAGCAGUCAGUCCCCCAAGUUCUGCUUGUUUGUUCCCCUGCUUUUCACAUAACCAAAUUUUAACCCCCUGCUUCAGUGCAACUCAUUUUACCUGGGUCACCAUUCGGCCUAUUUAUGGGGCCUCAACUCUCACGGUAACUUUAGGAAACCUCAAGUUCAAAUCCCAAGUAAAUGAAGGAUUCACCUAAUUCACCCAGUGAGAAUAUAUAAGCUGAGUGACAAUAAAGUGGCUUUUCAUUGAGGGUUCUUAGCAAGUACGCCCUGAGUGAUGUGAGUGUCGUAGCUUAUCACUGUGGGAAGGGGAGCACAAACGCAAAGAGCAAAUCUAGUCUUCCCUCCCUCCCUCCCUUCCUUCCCUUUUUCACAGACACCAACCUACCCUCCCCAGGAUCAAAAUUACAAAGCGCGUCAGCAAGUCAGGAAGCCCAGAACUGCUGCAGCGAGCCUAAUGCAGAGGCUUCUCAAGAGCAGGCGAAUACUGACACCCCCAUGGGUUAGUGGUAGGUUUUUUAAGUAUUACACUGUCAUAAGUAUAACAACACACUGUGAUCUGUUUUCUAGGCACCAUCAAAUACACUCUAUACAAAGAUCAGAAGGCAUGAGAACCUGUGGGAAGGCUGAUCUUUACUUUUCGUCACAAAGAAAGAAAAACAAGUACCUUCUGGACCCAAAGCUAGGAUAUGGGGCAAGGCAGAGGGUGGCGGUCAGGCCACUUUUCUCUUCCUCGUUGGACCAAAAACUCACCCUACGUUCAUGGCAAAAGAGAUAGCCAUAUGUGCUGUGUUCCCCAAAUUCAGAAUAAAACCUGUUUGUUACAAGGAUACUAAUAAAGCAGUCCAGUAGACUACGACAAAAUACACAGCUGAAAUAAUCACAUGUUAAAAUCUAUUUUAGGAUUUCCCACCUUUCCAAGCUAACUUGAAUUUCUUUCUUUCUUUUUUAUUAAAGUAUCAUUGCUAUACAAUCUUACGAUGGUUUCACAUACACAACACUGUGGUUCAGCAUUCACCCACGUCAUCAAGACCUCAUCCCCCCGUUGUGGCCAGUCCAUCAGCGUGAGCUUGAAUUUCUUACUUACGGCAUGAUUCCCGUGUGGAUCCAUGUGUUUCGUACGUGGAUGUGGGUACAUCCACUACAGAGCUGCCGUCUGGAAGAGGGUCAUUCUCCCGUGGCUACGCUCGGCAGCUGCGUUUUACGGGUGAAAUUCUGCUGUUAAAUCACACCCAGUGACAUCUCCCCAGACGGCAGUCACAAUCAACGACAGGAAUAAAAGCAAGCUCAGCUCACUGA
This is a long non-coding RNA of Manis pentadactyla (Chinese pangolin), 2099 nucleotides long. RefSeq lists it as uncharacterized. The record is from RefSeq and is a predicted model, not a curated record. The transcript has 2 exons. NCBI's taxonomy places the organism in Eukaryota, Metazoa, Chordata, Mammalia, Pholidota, Manidae.